This 95-nucleotide long non-coding RNA is filed under the name Polistes fuscatus (common paper wasp). RNAcentral describes it as "uncharacterized LOC122525131". The record is from RNAcentral. Lineage: Eukaryota; Metazoa; Arthropoda; Insecta; Hymenoptera; Vespidae.
CUAAUCGUGCGUUACACAACUAGUCGCCUGGACGUAGGUAGAAACUCAGCAUAAAAAUGAACUUUGCCGAGAUCUAUUUGUGGAUGAAAGAAAAA